CCUACGGGAGGCAGCAGUGGGGAAUCUUGCGCAAUGGGCGAAAGCCUGACGCAGCAACGCCGCGUGCGGGAAGAAGGCUUUCGGGCUGUAAACCGCUUUCAGCAGGAACGAAAAUGACGGUACCUGCAGAAGAAGGAGCGGCCAACUAUGUGCCAGCAGCCGCGGUGAUACAUAGGCUUCAAGCGUUGUCCGGAUUUAUUGGGCGUAAAGAGUUCGUAGGCGGUCAAGUAAGUCGGGUGUGAAAAUUCUGGGCUCAACCCAGAGACGCCACCCGAUACUGCUUAACUUGGGUUCGAUAGGGGAGUGGGGAAUUCCUAGUGUAGCGGUGAAAUGCGCAGAUAUUAGGAGGAACACCGGUGGCGAAGGCGCCACUCUGGAUCGAUACUGACGCUGAGGAACGAAAGCAUGGGUAGCAAACAGGAUUAGAUACCCUGGUAGUCCAUGCCGUAAACGGUGGGCACUAGGUGUGGGUUUCUAUUAACGAAAUCCGCGCCGUCGCUAACGCAUUAAGUGCCCCGCCUGGGGAGUACGGUCGCGAGACUAAACUACAAUAGAAUAGACGGCGNGAGACGUGCCGAACGGACGACGACGAGGGAGGUAGG
Molecule: ribosomal RNA, 602 nt
Filed under: uncultured bacterium
Lineage: Bacteria
Description: bacterial SSU rRNA
Rfam family: Bacterial small subunit ribosomal RNA
Source: RNAcentral